UAAUACGGAGGGUCCGAGCGUUAUCCGGAAUCAUUGGGUUUAAAGGGUCCGUAGGCGGGAAUCUAAGUCAGUGGUGAAGUCUUGCAGCUCAACUGUAAAAUUGCCAUGGAUACUGGAUUUCUUGAAUUAGUGUGAAGUGGUUAGAAUGUGUAGUGUAGCGGUGAAAUGCAUAGAUAUUACACAGAAUACCAAUUGCGAAGGCAGAUCACUAACACUAUAUUGACGCUGAGGGACGAAAGCGUGGGGAGCGAACAGGAUUAGAUACCCUGGUAGUCCACGCCGUAAACGAUGGAUACUAACUGUUCGAUCUUCGGAUUGAGUGGCUAAGCGAAAGUGAUAAGUAUCCCACCUGGGGAGUACGUUCGCAAGAAUG
Molecule: ribosomal RNA, 373 nt
Filed under: uncultured Bacteroidota bacterium
Lineage: Bacteria; Pseudomonadati; Bacteroidota
Description: bacterial SSU rRNA
Rfam family: Bacterial small subunit ribosomal RNA
Source: RNAcentral